GACGAACCGUGCGAACGUUAUUCGGAAUCACUGGGCUUAAAGCGCGUGUAGGCGGAUAGGGACGUCGGGCGCUGAAAUCCCCCGGCUCAACCGGGGAACGGGCACCGAAACGCCCUGUCUGGAGGGACGUAGGGGGACCUGGAACAUCCGGUGGAGCGGUGAAAUGCGUUGAGAUCGGAUGGAACGCCCGUGGCGAAAGCGAGGUCCUGGACGUCUUCUGACGCUGAGACGCGAAAGCUAGGGUAGCGAACGGG
This 254-nucleotide ribosomal RNA is filed under the name uncultured bacterium. RNAcentral's name for it is "partial 16S ribosomal RNA". It matches the Rfam family "Bacterial small subunit ribosomal RNA", at positions 524 to 776 of the family's 1533-position model. The record is from RNAcentral.